GAUGCAGCGACGCCGCUGUGAGUGGGGAAGUAUUUCGGUAUGUAAAGCUCUAUCAGCAGGGAAGAAAGAAAUGACGGUACCUGAGUAAGAAGCUCCGGCUAAAUACGUGCCAGCAGCCGCGGUAAUACGUAUGGAGCAAGCGUUAUCCGGAUUUACUGGGUGUAAAGGGAGCGUAGGCGGCAGAGCAAGUCUGAUGUGAAAGCCCGGGGCUCAACCCCGGUAGUGCAUUGGAAACUGUUCAGCUCGAGUGUCGGAGGGGUAAGCGGAAUUCCUGGUGUAGCGGUGAAAUGCGUAGAUAUCAGGAAGAACACCGGAGGCGAAGGCGGCUUACUGGACGAUUACUGACGCUGAGGCUCGAAAGCGUGGGGAGCGAACAGGAUUAGAUACCCUGGUAGUCCACGCUGUAAACGAUGAAUACUAGGUGUCGGUACCCGAAGGGUAUCGGUGCCGUCGCAAACGCAUUAAGUAUUCCACCUGGGGAGUACGUUCGCAAGAAUGAAACUCAAAGGAAUUGACGGGGACCCGCACAAGCGGUGGGGCAUGUGGUUUAAUUCGAAGCAACGCGAAGAACCUUACCAAGUCUUGACAUCCCGAUGACAAGCGAUGUAAUGUCGUCUCUCUUCGGAGCAUCGGAGACAGGUGGUGCAUGGUUGUCGUCAGCUCGUGUCGUGAGAUGUGGGGUUAAGUCC
Molecule: ribosomal RNA, 689 nt
Filed under: Shuttleworthella satelles
Lineage: Bacteria; Bacillati; Bacillota; Clostridia; Lachnospirales; Lachnospiraceae
Description: bacterial SSU rRNA
Rfam family: Bacterial small subunit ribosomal RNA
Source: RNAcentral